GGGAAAAGUGUGAAAAUUCAAGGAAACAAGUGAAAAAAGGUGGUGAAUCCUCUGCUAAGGGCAAAGAAAUUGUACCCGAGGAUUGGUAGUCAGUGUACUCUAGAAAUUCGACUCCUGAAAUACUUGCUACAGUGGGCGGGUUCUGUGGACCAG
Non-coding RNA from Theobroma cacao (cacao), 153 nucleotides. The record is from RefSeq and is a predicted model, not a curated record. NCBI's taxonomy places the organism in Eukaryota, Viridiplantae, Streptophyta, Magnoliopsida, Malvales, Malvaceae.